CCUGCAAGGAUAUUUUCUUUUAUUUUUGUGUUUUAGAUGUGAAACCCGUGGAGGUGAUAAAGGUGCUUCUGUUGCUUUUGUUUCCAUCCCAGGUCCUCUCGCUACCGCACGAACCCAGGAGUGGGAACAACCCACCCUGCAAACCCAGGAGAGCCCGGCCCUGAGAGCCACCAGCCCCGUCUGGGGGCCACCAGAAGCCCUCACCAUGGCUGAUCCCACGUGAACUUUCCUCCUCCUCCUCCUCCUCCUCCUCCUGCCUCUUGCUGGAGCAGCGCAGAGCACGCCUGGUGCCAGCACCGCGGCCACGGGGACACCGGGGACUGCCCUGGGGACAGGCAAGGACACCAUGGAGCAUCCCCGUGCUGGGCAGCACCGAACCUCGUGGCUCGUGGGCAGCCAAAGAGUCACAGAAUCACCGGGGCUGGAAGUGAACUUGAAAAUCAGCAAGCGCGACCGCCAACCUCCCACGUCCCAGCGCUGCGCCACGGCCCCUGGUGCCACCAGAAGACCUCGUGCAUCUGCCUGGAGAAGACACCUCGGUGCUUUCCACGUGGCUCAGGCUUCCUUUGCUGUCCUCCUUUGCCAUCCUCCAGCUCGCUGCAGUGAGGUUCGAGCUCCUGGGAGGUGCCCACGGGGGACCCAUGGUGCUUGUGGCGUCCUGGGCUGGGGCGAGGAGGUUUGGGGUGCUGAGUCCCGCGGCCCUCCCGGCUCCGAGCAGCUCUCCCGUACCACUGGAAGCCCAGGAACUGGAAGUGCUUCGUACCCAGUCCUGCUGACCCCAUCCUGUAAGGCAAAUUUGGGCACCCAGGGCAAUCCUAGAGCGGCACUGGGCGCAUCAGGGCUGAGGUGCCGCCGUGCCAGCGAUUCAAAGUGGGUCAGAAAGUGCCCUUGAGCACAGGAUUUGAGGCUCCUUUGCUCUUUUAGGGAGGAAAGGAGCCAAGCAGGGAGCCCUCUGAUGCUGGUGGGAGCAGCCUGAGCCCCUUCUCCUUUGGCCUGAUGCUGCUGGCAGCUUGGGGGGCUUGGGGAGCACCCCGUGUCCCAUGGGGAGCUGUGUGCGUCCGCCCCCAGCCCUCACCAGGCAGAAGCGGGUGGGAGAAGCCGUGCAGAGGCACCGAGCCAUUGGUAAUAAAUGCAAAAUGCUCUGGCCCUGGAGCUGCA
This 1158-nucleotide long non-coding RNA is filed under the name Anas platyrhynchos platyrhynchos (common mallard). RNAcentral's name for it is "lncRNA (ENSAPLG00000020561.1)". Lineage: Eukaryota; Metazoa; Chordata; Aves; Anseriformes; Anatidae. The record is from RNAcentral.